GGGCAUCGAUGAAGAACGCAGCGAAAUGCGAUAAGUAGUGUGAAUUGCAGAAUUCAGUGAAUCAUCGAAUCUUUGAACGCACAUUGCGCCCUUUGGUAUUCCAAAGGGCAUGCCUGUUCGAGCGUCAUUUGUACCCUCAAGCUUUGCUUGGUGUUGGGCGUCUUGUCUCUAGCUUUGCUGGAGACUCGCCUUAAAGUAAUUGGCAGCCGGCCUACUGGUUUCGGAGCGCAGCACAAGUCGCACUCUCUAUCAGCAAAGGUCUAGCAUCCAUUAAGCCUUUUUUUCAACUUUUGACCUCGGAUCAGGUAGGGAUACCCGCUGAACUUAAGCAUAUCAAUAAGCGGAGGAU
Molecule: unclassified non-coding RNA, 349 nt
Filed under: uncultured bacterium
Lineage: Bacteria
Description: contains 16S-23S intergenic spacer region
Rfam family: 5.8S ribosomal RNA (bases 3-127)
Source: RNAcentral